RNAcentral lists this long non-coding RNA (536 nucleotides) under Phoenix dactylifera (date palm). RNAcentral's name for it is "long non-coding RNA (PDAC_LNC014266)". The record is from RNAcentral. Lineage: Eukaryota; Viridiplantae; Streptophyta; Magnoliopsida; Arecales; Arecaceae.
UAACUUGUUCUUAAAGGAUUAGAAAGAGUGAUUACUAUAAAUUUUGAAUAAUUCUAGAUCACUCUACAUUCUCGAUAUCAUAAGAAAGAAUGAUUAAAGAGGAAUGCAUCUUUUGAGGGGGAGCUUUAGAUAUUCAGUAUCUUCCAAAAAUUACUUUAAUUAUAAGUUUAUACCUUGAGAUGAGUUCUAUAAAGGUUGUCUUAUCUCAAACCUUGAGUCUUAUGAAAAUAAGCUGAAACUUAUAGAAAAUAUAUUUUUGAGAUUGACAAUUUUAUUGAACAUUAUCUUCAAAUUCUGAACUCUUAAAUGGAAUGAUCAAUUGGGGGGGGGGAAAGAAAAUUUCAGAAGGAGAGGUCUUAUGGAACUUAAUCGCAUAAAUCUAUAACUAAAGGAGAGAGAAAGAAUACUAAAUGAAAAGUGAUCCUAAUACUCUCCAAUAUGUAUCAUCUGAAAUUUAAAUCUGAAAAUCUUUAUGAUACACCUUGAGGCAUGUUAUUUGGUUAAUAUAUCUUCUGCACAAAUCAUGAACCAAAUUG